Molecule: ribosomal RNA, 467 nt
Filed under: uncultured bacterium
Lineage: Bacteria
Description: bacterial SSU rRNA
Rfam family: Bacterial small subunit ribosomal RNA
Source: RNAcentral
UGGAGGAAAGUAGGGGAUCGAAAGACCUUAUGCUUUAAGAGCGGCCGAUGUCUGAUUAGCUAGUUGGUGAGGUAAUGGCUUACCAAGGCGACGAUCAGUAGUUGGUCUGAGAGGACGACCAGCCACACUGGGACUGAGACACGGCCCAGACUCCUACGGGAGGCAGCAGUGGGGAAUUUUGGACAAUGGGCGCAAGCCUGAUCCAGCAAUGCCGCGUGAGUGAAGAAGGCCUUCGGGUUGUAAAGCUCUUUCAGUUGAGAAGAAAAAAUUGUGACUAAUAAUCACAAUUGAUGACGGUAUCAACAGAAGAAGCACCGGCUAACUACGUGCCAGCAGCCGCGGUAAUACGUAGGGUGCGAGCGUUAAUCGGAAUUACUGGGCGUAAAGGGUGCGCAGGCGGUUUUGUAAGUCAGAUGUGAAAUCCCCGGGCUUAACCUGGGAAUUGCGUUUGAAACUACAAAGCUAGA